GACACGGCCCAGACUCCUACGGGAGGCAGCAGUGGGGAAUUUUCCGCAAUGGGCGAAAGCCUGACGGAGCAAGACCGCGUGCGGGAGGAAGGCCCUUGGGUCGUAAACCGCUUUUCUUAGGGAAGAAGCUCUGACGGUACCUAAGGAAUCAGCCUCGGCUAACUCCGUGCCAGCAGCCGCGGUAAUACGGAGGAGGCAAGCGUUAUCCGGAAUUAUUGGGCGUAAAGCGUCCGCAGGCGGCUUACCAAGUCUGCUGUCAAAUACCAGAGCUCAACUCUGGGUCGGCGGUGGAAACUGGCAAGCUAGAGUACAGUAGGGGUAGAGGGAAUUCCCAGUGUAGCGGUGAAAUGCGUAGAGAUUGGGAAGAACACCGGUGGCGAAAGCGCUCUACUGGGCUGUAACUGACGCUGAGGGACGAAAGCUAGGGUAGCGAAAGGGAUUAGAUACCCCUGUAGUCUUAGCUGUAAACGAUGGAGACUAGGCGUGGCUUGUAUCGACCCGAGCCGUGCCGAAGCCAACGCGUUAAGUCUCCCGCCUGGGGAGUACGCACGCAAGUGUGAAACUCAAAGGAAUUGACGGGGGCCCGCACAAGCGGUGGAGUAUGUGGUUUAAUUCGAUGCAACGCGAAGAACCUUACCAAGGCUUGACAUCCCGCGAAUCCUGGUGAAAGCCGGGAGUGCCUUCGGGAGCGCGGAGACAGGUGGUGCAUGGCUGUCGUCAGCUCGUGUCGUGAGAUGUUGGGUUAAGUCCCGCAACGAGCGCAACCCUUGUCCUUAGUUGCCAGCAUUCAGUUGGGCACUCUAGGGAGACUGCCGGUGACAAACCGGAGGAAGGUGGGGAUGACGUCAAGUCAUCAUGCCCCUUACGUCUUGGGCUACACACGUACUACAAUGGUUGGGACAACGGGCAGCGAAGCGGCAACGCCGAGCGAAUCCCAGCAAACCCAGCCUCAGUUCAGAUCGCAGGCUGCAACUCGCCUGCGUGAAGGAGGAAUCGCUAGUAAUCGCAGGUCAGCAUACUGCGGUGAAUUCGUUCCCGGGCCUGUACACACCGCCCGUCACACCAUGGAAGUUGGCCAUGCCCGAAGUCGUUACUCCAACCAUUGUGGAGGAGGACGCCGAAGGCAGGGCUGAUGACUGGGGUGAAGU
RNAcentral lists this ribosomal RNA (1148 nucleotides) under uncultured organism. Its description in RNAcentral is "bacterial SSU rRNA". It matches the Rfam family "Bacterial small subunit ribosomal RNA", at positions 323 to 1486 of the family's 1533-position model. The record is from RNAcentral.